GACGAACGCUGGCGGCGUGCUUAACACAUGCAAGUCGAACGGAAAGGCCCUGCUUUUGUGGGGUGCUCGAGUGGCGAACGGGUGAGUAACACGUGAGUAACCUGCCCUUGACUUUGGGAUAACUUCAGGAAACUGGGGCUAAUACCGGAUAGGAGCUCCUGCUGCAUGGUGGGGGUUGGAAAGUUUCGGCGGUUGGGGAUGGACUCGCGGCUUAUCAGCUUGUUGGUGGGGUAGUGGCUUACCAAGGCUUUGACGGGUAGCCGGCCUGGGAGGGUGACCGGCCACAUUGGGACUGAGAUACGGCCCAGACUCCUACGGGAGGCAGCAGUGGGGAAUAUUGCACAAUGGGCGGAAGCCUGAUGCAGCAACGCCGCGUGCGGGAUGACGGCCUUCGGGUUGUAAACCGCUUUCGCCUGUGACGAAGCGUGAGUGACGGUAAUGGGUAAAGAAGCACCGGCUACCUACGU
This 467-nucleotide ribosomal RNA is filed under the name uncultured bacterium. RNAcentral's name for it is "partial 16S ribosomal RNA". It matches the Rfam family "Bacterial small subunit ribosomal RNA", at positions 28 to 506 of the family's 1533-position model. The record is from RNAcentral.